This 405-nucleotide ribosomal RNA is filed under the name uncultured prokaryote. Its description in RNAcentral is "bacterial SSU rRNA". It matches the Rfam family "Bacterial small subunit ribosomal RNA", at positions 355 to 774 of the family's 1533-position model. The record is from RNAcentral.
UGGGGAAUAUUGGGCAAUGGGCGAAAGCCUGACCCAGCAACGCCGCGUGAUUGAAGAAGGCCUUCGGGUUGUAAAGAUCUGUCCUAUGGGACGAAAAAAAUGACGGUACCAUAGGGGGAAGCCCCGGCUAACUACGUGCCGGCAGCCGCGGUAAUACGGAGGAUGCAGGCGUUAUCCGGAUUUAUUAGGUUUAAAGGGUGCGUAGGCGGCUUGAUAAGUCAGGGGUGAAAUCUAACGGCUUAACCGUUAGUUUGCCUUUGUGACUGCGAGGCUAGAGUGUAGCAGAGGGGGGUAGAAUUCCACGUGUAGCAGUGAAAUGCGUAGAGAUGUGGAGGAAUACCGAUGGCGAAGGCAGCCCCCUGGGUUACUACUGACGCUCAUGCACGAAAGCGUGGGGAGCAAACA